Molecule: ribosomal RNA, 408 nt
Filed under: Salmonella enterica subsp. enterica serovar Heidelberg
Lineage: Bacteria; Pseudomonadati; Pseudomonadota; Gammaproteobacteria; Enterobacterales; Enterobacteriaceae
Also listed under: 8 other names
Description: bacterial SSU rRNA
Rfam family: Bacterial small subunit ribosomal RNA
Source: RNAcentral
GUUGCCAGCGAUUAGGUCGGGAACUCAAAGGAGACUGCCAGUGAUAAACUGGAGGAAGGUGGGGAUGACGUCAAGUCAUCAUGGCCCUUACGACCAGGGCUACACACGUGCUACAAUGGCGCAUACAAAGAGAAGCGACCUCGCGAGAGCAAGCGGACCUCAUAAAGUGCGUCGUAGUCCGGAUUGGAGUCUGCAACUCGACUCCAUGAAGUCGGAAUCGCUAGUAAUCGUGGAUCAGAAUGCCACGGUGAAUACGUUCCCGGGCCUUGUACACACCGCCCGUCACACCAUGGGAGUGGGUUGCAAAAGAAGUAGGUAGCUUAACCUUCGGGAGGGCGCUUACCACUUUGUGAUUCAUGACUGGGGUGAAGUCGUAACAAGGUAACCGUAGGGGAACCUGCGGUUGGA